This 634-nucleotide long non-coding RNA is filed under the name Androctonus crassicauda. The record is from RNAcentral. Lineage: Eukaryota; Metazoa; Arthropoda; Arachnida; Scorpiones; Buthidae.
CGGAAACAUUCAAUCUCCAUUUCCGCCAAUAAUAUGACGAAAGAUGGAACCAAACCACAUGGGCCGAGAAGCAAAUUGAAAACCACAUCUACCACUCAAAUUGCGUCAACAUCGUAUGUGCAGUUCUGGAGCUAACAGCCCCCGAACACCACGGCAACCUCCGACAUACGCCACGGAAAUAUUCAAUCUCCAUUUCCGCCAAUAAUAUGACGAAAGAUGGAACCAAACCACUUGGACCGAGAAGCAAAUUGAGAACCACAUCUACCACACAAAUUGCGUCAACAUCCUAUGUGCAGUUCUGGAGCUAACAGCCCCCGAACACCCCGACAACCUCCGACAUACGCCGCCGGAAACACGGCAACCUCCGACAUACGCCACGGAAAUACUCAAUCUCCAUUUCCGCCAAUAAUAUGACGAAAGAUGGAACCAAACCACAUGGGCCGAGAAGCUUGGGCCGAGACGAAAAUUGAAAACCACAUCUACCACACAAAUUGCGUCAACAUCGUAUGUGCAGUUCUGGAGCUAACAGCCCCCGAACACCACGGCAACCUCCGACAUACGCCACGGAAAUAUUCAAUCUCCAUUUCCCGACAACCUCCGACAUACGCCGCCGGAAAUAUUCAAUCUCCAUUUC